Long non-coding RNA from Ricinus communis (castor bean), 543 nucleotides. RefSeq lists it as uncharacterized. The record is from RefSeq and is a predicted model, not a curated record. The transcript has 3 exons. NCBI's taxonomy places the organism in Eukaryota, Viridiplantae, Streptophyta, Magnoliopsida, Malpighiales, Euphorbiaceae.
UGAUGGCCCACAGCAAACUGGGCUUUCAUUUAUUAAUGAUUUUUUAAUCUAAAAUAAAUAAAGACUAAAUCUCUGUAUUAUUUUUAAAGUUUUCCCUUGUGAACCUUCUGAUAUAUCUUUCAAAUGAUGAUUUUAUCAACACUUUCCAGAUUUGACAACUCUAAAUCUCAUAGCAAAGCUCCUCGUAUGAAGCAAUUGUGAACACACUCCUCUCAUUCUCUCAACACAGGCUACUGUAGAAGUCCCAAGAGUUCUGAACUUGAACAGCAAUAAAAUUGCUUAGCACUAUAUGAUUGGAGUUUUUUCUGAUGAUGAAAUGCUUGAUUUGUUGGAUUUGGUGUCGUCAUCUAACACUUCAAAUAAGGGCUGUGAGUUAAUAAAAUUCAGGAUUGAUCCUAUGCAACUUGCAUCACAAAUGGCGAACCUCAUAAAUAUCAGGCAUUGCUAAUGGUGUAAAUGUGGACUAUUGAUAUUGAUAUUGAUACUGUAUACAAGACCUAUUAUAUUGAUAUUGUUCAAUUUUUUUUUAUUUAUUUUUUUUAA